RNAcentral lists this transfer RNA (72 nucleotides) under Chrysemys picta bellii (western painted turtle). RNAcentral's name for it is "tRNA-iMet (CAT) (tRNA-iMet-CAT-4-1)". It matches the Rfam family "tRNA". Rfam says of the family: Transfer RNA (tRNA) molecules are approximately 80 nucleotides in length. The record is from Rfam by way of RNAcentral. Lineage: Eukaryota; Metazoa; Chordata; Testudines; Emydidae.
AGCAGAGUGGCACAGCGGAAGCGUGCUGGGCCCAUAACCCAGUGGUCGAUGGAUCAAAACCAUCUUCUGCUA